UAGUCUGUUGGUUUCUUUCUUUCUGUUUUCCUUUAAACCAUCUUCUUAGUUUCUUUUCGCAAGGGAGUCUCUAUUGGCUUACCAACAACGAGAGAGAGAGAGAGUGAGAGAGAGAGAGAGAGAGGUACCGAAGACAUAAAUAUUUAGUCGAUUAUUUUAACGGGUUAGCAGUAGUAAUGGCCCGCCAAGUACUUUCAUCUCCGUUUGCCCUUAUUUUCCUAGAGGAAGAAGAGCUUUAGUAGAGGGGAUAAAGGUACGAGACGAAGAGAGAGAGAAUCGUCCUAGAGACCGAGGACUUUUCAAAUUGGAUCGAGCACCUGCGUCGGGCACGGGAAUCCAAGGAGUUGCCGCUUCGCGUGAGAAGAAUGCGAAUAGAAAAAGACUUUGGAAAAGUGAAGAAGAUGCACUUUUUAGUUUUUACGACAAUCUUAAGGGUUCGUCGUAGGUCUCUGGGUACGACGACGACGACGACGACUACGACGACAAGAAGGUUCUUCCAACCAACCCUAAAGCUGAUAAAUAGAACGAGUUUCAGCGUUGCAACGUGUUGCUUCGGCUUACUCCGUCUCGUUACAGCGAGGAGGAGGAGGAGGAGGAGGUGGAGGUGGAGGAAGCCUAAGUGCACGAAACUUCGGCCUCGAUCCGCCACCACGGGAAUGCGAAUAGGUAAAAAGCUAAUAAAACUGACAAAGAUUAUUCCUGGCAUAAGAAGAAGAA
This 717-nucleotide long non-coding RNA is filed under the name Polistes fuscatus (common paper wasp). Its description in RNAcentral is "uncharacterized LOC122515617". The record is from RNAcentral. Lineage: Eukaryota; Metazoa; Arthropoda; Insecta; Hymenoptera; Vespidae.